RNAcentral lists this ribosomal RNA (292 nucleotides) under uncultured bacterium. RNAcentral describes it as "partial 16S ribosomal RNA". It matches the Rfam family "Bacterial small subunit ribosomal RNA", at positions 28 to 317 of the family's 1533-position model. The record is from RNAcentral.
GAUGAACGCUAGCGGCAGGCCUAAUACAUGCAAGCCGAACGGCAAGCUUUGUAGCAAUACAGAGCCUAGAGUGGCGUAAGGGUGCGUAACACGUAUGGAAUCUGCCCUCAACAGGAGGAUAGCUCCCCGAAAGGGGAAUUAACACUCCAUAGGAUAUAGGUGUGGCAUCACAUUUAUAUUAAACCGCAAGGGGUUGAGGAUGAGCAUGCGCAUGAUUAGUUAGUUGGCGGGGUAACGGCCCACCAAGACGAUGAUCAUUAGGGGAACUGAGAGGUUGAUCCCCCACACUGGC